RNAcentral lists this ribosomal RNA (807 nucleotides) under Triticum aestivum (bread wheat). RNAcentral's name for it is "partial small subunit ribosomal RNA". Lineage: Eukaryota; Viridiplantae; Streptophyta; Magnoliopsida; Poales; Poaceae. The record is from RNAcentral.
AUGUACCUCAUUGGUGCCCCAUCGAUGCCCCCUCCCACCAAAUGUACCCCGCCGUCUCCCAGCAGGCGUCCGAGGGCGCCGAGCGCCGGCCACGCAACGCGCGCGUGGGUCCCGCCCGAGGAGGUGGACGAGGCCGUGCGGCUCGCGGCAGAGGGCACGCUCUUCACCGUCACCUACUACCCGCGCCAGGGCGCCGGGGAGUUCGUCGUGCCCAAGCAGGAGGUGGAGGAUGCGCUGAUCGGCGCCUGGGCACCCGGCGUGCAGGUGCGCAUGAAGUUCCUCGACGCCGAGGAGCGCCGCUCCGAGUGGAACAACGGCGCCGUCAAGGCCGUCGAGUCGUCGACCCCUCCAUCUGGCGCAUGCUCGAGAGAUCCCUCGCAUGGAGUAGCCCUAGAUGUUCUAGGCCACCACCGCCAAUCCGGCGAGCCUACGCUGCGACCGUUCAUGGCGCCUGGGGGCAAUGAACUGGCAUUGCGGUCAUGGAGGGGAGGCUCAGGAGCAGGGCGACGCUGGCUGCUGCAAACUCCAAGAACGUUAUUGUCAUGGGGGGCACCAGUUUCAAUUGUGUCUUCUUGCAAGCUCCUUGUCAAUGAGAGGCACAAGUGCUCUUCCAAGCCACAGUUCAACCCCCACUUCUUGCCGCUCGCCUUCAGCCCCAGCAAGACGAUUAAAUAUUUUACCUCAAUCCAUAUAUCAGAUCUCGUGCUCAAGAAGACGAUGGUGAAGAGCAUGAUAAUGAUCCAAAUAGUAUUGAUGUUUGUACUGAAGGAAGUCCAAAAGUCUUAUCGAUGCAGGCAAGACACUUGA